This 402-nucleotide ribosomal RNA is filed under the name uncultured bacterium. Its description in RNAcentral is "bacterial SSU rRNA". It matches the Rfam family "Bacterial small subunit ribosomal RNA", at positions 355 to 774 of the family's 1533-position model. The record is from RNAcentral.
UGGGGAAUCUUGGACAAUGGGCGCAAGCCUGAUCCAGCCAUGCCGCGUGAGUGAAGAAGGCCUUAGGGUUGUAAAGCUCUUUUGGCAGGGACGAUAAUGACGGUACCUGCAGAAUAAGCCCCGGCAAACUUCGUGCCAGCAGCCGCGGUAAUACGAAGGGGGCUAGCGUUGUUCGGAUUUACUGGGCGUAAAGCGCACGUAGGCGGAUUGUUAAGUCAGGGGUGAAAUCCCGGAGCUCAACUCCGGAACUGCCUUUGAUACUGGCAAUCUUGAGGCUGGAAGAGGUUGGUAGAAUUCCCAGUGUAGAGGUGAAAUUCGUAGAUAUUGGGAAGAAUACCAGUGGCGAAGGCGGCCAACUGGUCCGAUACUGACGCUGAGGCACGAAAGCGUGGGGAGCAAACA